This 207-nucleotide ribosomal RNA is filed under the name Helicobacter pylori. RNAcentral's name for it is "partial 23S ribosomal RNA". It matches the Rfam family "Bacterial large subunit ribosomal RNA", at positions 1902 to 2108 of the family's 2925-position model. The record is from RNAcentral. Lineage: Bacteria; Pseudomonadati; Campylobacterota; Epsilonproteobacteria; Campylobacterales; Helicobacteraceae.
AAGCGUUGAAUUGAAGCCCGAGUAAACGGCGGCCGUAACUAUAACGGUCCUAAGGUAGCGAAAUUCCUUGUCGGUUAAAUACCGACCUGCAUGAAUGGCGUAACGAGAUGGGAGCUGUCUCAACCAGAGAUUCAGUGAAAUUGUAGUGGAGGUGAAAAUUCCUCCUACCCGCGGCAAGACGGAAAGACCCCGUGGACCUUUACUACA